UACGUAGGUCCCAAGCGUUGUCCGGAUUUAUUGGGCGUAAAGCGAGCGCAGGCGGUUUCUUAAGUCUGAUGUGAAAUCCCCCGGCUCAACCGGGGAAGGUCUUUGGAAACUGGGGAACUUGAGUGCAGAAGAGGAGAGUGGAAUUCCAUGUGUAGCGGUGAAAUGCUUAGAUAUAUGGAGGAACACCGUUGGCGAAGGCGACUCUCUGGUCUGUAACUGACGCUGAGGCUCUAAAGCGUGGGGAGCAAACAGG
Molecule: ribosomal RNA, 253 nt
Filed under: uncultured bacterium
Lineage: Bacteria
Description: partial 16S ribosomal RNA
Rfam family: Bacterial small subunit ribosomal RNA
Source: RNAcentral